UCUCAACGAGAUAUGUUGGCUGAUUUAGAUGAAAGAAAUGAAGAGAGGAUUCAAAGUGAUGCCAAGAUGUUAAGUUGGGUGACUAGAGUAAUAGUGGUGCCACUGUUGGAGAUUAUUAAGAUAGAAUUAGAAAUCAAUUUUGAAAGAAGGUAACCUGAAAGAACAUAUUGUGUUUUUUUCUCCCAUUUUUGGCUUCAAAAUAAAUAAUAAAGUACAUAAUAAAUAAAUAAUAAAGUUAAAUAACAAAGUAUACAUUGUUUGAGUGUAGGACAGAGAUUUUUCUUCUGCUUAUUGAGGGUUAGGUUCUAUUAGGAUUCAGCCGCAACAGCAAACACCUGCUCCACCUAGUUUCAGUGAAAAAUUUUUAAUAUAGGGAAUUAGCUACUAUGAAAUUAUUGGAAGUACUAGAGAAGUAGAUUGCCGAAGAAUAGCUUCUGGAAUAAGAUCCUGAAAUGACAUGCCAGGGGGCCCACUAUUUAGGCCACAAUCAUGGAUAUUGAGAAUCAAGAGGAAAUCUUAGGAACAAUGUUGAGAAAUCCACUGCCAUAGCUGUGGUCCAGUAGUCAGGAUAUUACUUUCAUCACAAAUGUGUCUCAGUACUCAUGAGGUGCCAGUUAUCAGAACACUUCUGUAGAUAGAGCUCACAUCUUUAUAACCUUGUUUCUUUGGAGCAACAAGAAAGUAUCAGCAAAAAUUUUUGCCUAAAUAUAAAUAAUGAGGGGAUAAUUAAAUCAAUAUAUUUAAUUAUCAUAAUUACAUUUUCAAAUAAUGCUUAAUAACUUGGGAAAUUUUUCAUUAAAUAAUGUUAUGUGAGAAACCUAUCUAAUAAAAUUGAAUUAUAAACCAAAGUGUGAAUAGAGUAAAAGUCAUAAUUUUAAAAAAUUAAGAGAUGUACAGAAAGAUUUAUUUACAAGGAUGCUCAUUAUCAUAUUAUAUCAAUGAAAAAAUUAGAAAGGUUCAAAAUUGGGAAAUAUUAAAUAAAUGAUCCUUACAUUUGAUGAAAUUCCAUAUAAUUGUUAAGAAAUAAUAUUGUAGGCAUAUAGUAAAGACAUAAAAAUGCUCACAAAAUAAUAAGGAGCAAGGCAGAGAAAUACAUUACAAUGACAACAAAUAUACAGAAACACAGCAUUAUGUACAGAGAUACAGAAAAAGACUGGAUGGAAAUAUAGCAAAAUAUGAACAUAAUAAUCUGUGGUUUGUAGGAUUUGGGGUUUUUGUUUUUCUAUGCUUUCUGUAAGGACCAAAUUGUACAUGUAUUUAAUGGGGUGAGGGAGAAUCUAAGUUUUUAUCCUAGGGUUCUUUAUUAAUCACAUUGAAGUAGGGGAAAUAAAAACUGGAAAAAAGCCCUUUUGGAAGGGUACAUGUCAGGGUAUGAAAGCUUCUCCUGCUAGCCCAGACCUGCGAACAUGGAAAAGACUUCUAGGCUGGUCAACUCAGUGGGUAUCCAAAGUAAAGCUGUAAGAUAAUGAAAAAGAUGAAAGUCAUAAUUUUUUUAAUAACAGUUUUUGAAGGACUAUGGGUUAAAGAAGGUGUUGUUUGUUUUAUUGUGCUAUAAUAAAUAAAUAAACAUAGAUAUGUAUCUGUUUAUUAUUUAUUUAUUUAUUUAUUUAUCUUUUUAGGGUUGCACACAUGGCAUAUGGAAGUUCUUGGGGCAGGGGUCAAAUCGGAGCUGCUGGCCUACACCACAACCACAGCAACGCCAGAUCCGAACAGCAUCUGUGACCUACACCACACCUCACAGCAGCACUGGAUCCUUAACCCAUUGAGUGAGCUAGGGGUCAAACCCACAUCUUUUUGAAUACUAGUUGGAUUCUUAACCUGCUGAACCACAAUGAGGACUCCCAGUUUAUUUUUUAAAUUACUUUUUUUCUGACUAUGAAACCAAACUUGUUAAUUGUAAUAUAUAUACAUAUACAAAUAUGUACAUUUAAAAUAUUUCAGUGUUCUUUUGUAGAAGUAAUAGAUUUAUUAAUGUACACUGAAGAUUAUAUCUGUAGUUCAUAAGAACUUGAGAAAAACCACUCAUUGAGCUAAUUCUCUUGUAGUGUUUAGAGAGUAGACUUUCUUAAUGACUAAUUGCAGAGGAUAGAAAAGAAUAAUUAAACCAGGCUCUCUUCCCUACAGUCAUUCUGUAUAUUUGCGUCUUUUACGUUACCAAAAAAAUCUCUAUGAGGUCAUUAUUACCAUGUUCUCCAUUUUACAGAAAAGAAAAUCGAUGCACAGAGAUUAACUCAUUUGGAUCCAAAUCAAGGAUGCUGAAUUUGAACCCAAGCAAUCUAUCACCAUUGUCUGAGCUUUUCAUCUCAUGCUGUAGGAGAUGUUACCUCCUACCCAACCACCAAUCUCCAUUUAUUUUUUCUUAUCUCUAAUAAAUAAGACACAUAGUCCCUACAGAGUAGGAUUUUUAUUAAUAUAAAAAAUACAUGAAAAAUCAGCAAAAUAACUUGAUGCACAUAUGGAUAGAGUCAUGGAAGAGUUAAGAGGAAGAUACUCUUUUCCUAGGCAGAGAGGAGCAGCAUUAGAUAAGGCUUCAUAGAGGAGGUAACGUUUGAGCUGGGUAUUGAAGGAGAGAAAAGAUGGUUAGGAAAAAAAUAAGAAGGCACCAUGGACAAAGUUAUCUAUUAACCCCUAAUGAAAUGAUCUAUGUUGUAGCUUUGUAUUGUUUGUUUUGAGACUGGUGACCAUCACAUGGUGAGUGAGCUCUCAGAUGACUCUCACAUGGAGGCAAGGCAACAGAUGACAAAAAGAUCCAAGAAUUUGUUGUAGGUGGGACAGGAUGAUCGCAUAUAUUGCCUUCUGUGGUGAAGAGGUGCUGAUAGUGAUAUCUGAGCUCUUUCUUCUCCCUGGGUCAUCUUGUUCCUAUAAGGCUAAUAGAACAUGCUGUGUCAGUUUGUGAAUUCUCUCCAAAUGUUUUGGAUUUGGAAUUUUGAACUAAAGUAAAUCCCUUCAUUUAUUCUGGGAAAAAUAUAAUUUAUUUAGUCUUUUAAAAGAAGUAAUUAGAAAACUUUGCAAAAGCAAUACCAGACAUUUAAAAAAAUACAAUUCUGAUGAACAGAGAACAAAGAAACUCAAAUGAUAUAGCAUAUAAUUUCUUAACAGAUUGAUUUAAUAUACAGAGGUAAGGCAUUUAAAACAAUUUGCUUGUGGUUUUUAUUGAAUCCAUGUUUAAAACUGAAACCUUCAUUAGAGUCAAUACUAAGGAUGGAUAUGUCUGUCCCAGAUUUUCACUGUACCCGAUGAAAAUAGGAAUUACUUUCUGCACUUACUGAUUCCCCCCUUAGAAUGUGAGGCCACAUUUACAGUAACUAGAAGACACAGAAAUAUGUUUGUUGAAUUUAUCAGGAUUUUUGAAAGGCAAAAUACUAUUUAUGGCUUCUACACUUAUACUAUGCUAUUAGCAGAAAUAUGCAAACUUGCAAAUCCCACAUCUAAACUUGAUUCUUAGCAAUUCAUAUCUUUAUAUGUUAAUAGCAUCGUAGUGCUAUGGACUUAGUUCAACAAAUCAAGUGUUUCAUUAUGGUUCACUGUUACUGUCCUUGGACAGAGUUGGCUUGCUUUAAUGAGGUUUGGGGAACAAAGUCAUCACAGCGGCCUAGAAACUGUUCUCAAAACACUGACUGAACCACUGGGAUCUUGUCUUGAGAAAGUGUUAUAAAAUUAUUAAGGUGAUUGCUGUAUGUUGUUGGGGGCUGUCAUAAAGAAUGUGGCAUUUGAGCAUGUUGGAACAAAACUGAAAGCAAAACAAAUGUCAAGGCUUCUAAAGAAGCACUGAAGCAGAAAUAUUUUUCUGGCUUGAAGUGAAAGGAUAAGAUUGGGAGAGAACUUAGUAAUAGACAAGUGGUACAGUUGUGGAAAGUUGUCUAAGAAAAUAACUCAAGAGAGAGAGAAAAAACAAUCUUCCCGUAAAUGUUUCUUUUGGCUUUACUUAUAUUAGCCAAAAUAUAAUACCUAUUAAAUCUCAGCCUGGUUCAGAACCAACUACCUGCUCUAUCUGACCUUUGUCUGGAGGUGUCCUGAACACCUAAUGUCCCAUUACACCCAACCAAUCAUGUUCAAGACUGAAUAAGCAGUAAUGAAUAUGCCCCUCAUCACUGCUUCCUAAAUUAUUCUUUAUGCAUUUCCUACUCCAGUUUAAUGGAUUCAUUGUCAGUUCUACCAGUCACUUGCAAAAUAGGUUCAGAUCUGCCUCUGUGCUGACUUUUCUUUGUGUUGCCAUCAUAUUCUAGUUUAUUGCCUCCCUACAUUUUUCUCACAUUUUAUAAUAGCCUCCUAACCUGCCUUCCCAAAUCCAGGAUGCCAUUUUUUCCCACUUCCUCUUUUCCAACCUCAAACUCAACUUCUUUUUUACAUGUUGGCACACAUCCUUAGAUCCCAUAACUACACCGAUGUUAUUCUCCCUGAAUCAUCUUGUUCCUGUAAGGCCAAUAGAACAUGCUCGUGAAUUCUCUCCAAAAGUUUUGGAUUUGGAAUUUUGAACUAAAGUAAAUCCUUUCAUUUAUUCUGGGAAAAGUAUAAAUUUCUUACUUAGUUCUAUGUGCCUGAAAAAAAUAAACUCCAAAACUCUUAGCACUGAGAUAUUGGAAUAAACAUCCUUAUGGGCCCUCACAUCCUUUAUUCCUCAUCCUAGUCCUCAUCUGCCUUUUCAGCUCUGUGUUCCAUGCAUUCAGAUCCUGUACGCACUUAAUGUGCCUAACACUCCAGCCUCACCCCCAUAACAUUUCCUUAAACAUCCGUCUUUUCCUUUAUCUUAUUUUCCAUUUCUUAAGCAACCUUGUCAACUGCUUUUUCCUAUAUGCACUGUUAUUAUGAUUAUGCAUUUUGUCCCACACUCAUUAGUUGUUCACAUGUCUCUGUCUUCUUUAGUGGCUUAUAAGUUCAUUGAAGGCAGUGAUAUUACAUUUCUCAUCUAUGACCUUAUGUCUAAUUCUUGCCCAAGUAAUAUCAUUCUUUUGCUUAUAAUAGAUCUUAAAGUAGGAGUUCCUGUCGUGGCACACGGAAAUGAAAUCCGACUAGGAACCAUGAGGUUGUGGGUUCAAUCCCUGGCCUCACUCAGUAGGUUAAGGAAUAAAGCAUUGCCAUGAGCUGAGGUGUAGACUUCAGACGAGGCUUGGAUUUGGCAUUGCUGUGGCAGUGGUGUAGGCCAGCAGCUGUAGCUCCAAUCAGACCCCUAACCUGGGAACCUUCAUAUGCCGCAGGUGUGGCCCUAAAAAG
Molecule: long non-coding RNA, 5211 nt
Filed under: Sus scrofa (pig)
Lineage: Eukaryota; Metazoa; Chordata; Mammalia; Artiodactyla; Suidae
Description: lncRNA (ENSSSCG00000058162.1)
Source: RNAcentral